Molecule: long non-coding RNA, 1870 nt
Organism: Nelumbo nucifera (sacred lotus)
Lineage: Eukaryota; Viridiplantae; Streptophyta; Magnoliopsida; Proteales; Nelumbonaceae
Source: RefSeq, a predicted model, not a curated record
UCUCUCUCUCUCUCCACCUCACCCCUCUAUCCCUGGCCUCUAUAUUUAGCAGCAGUUGGAGCGUGCAACUCAAACCCUACACCUUCUUCUUUCCGUCUCAAAACCCCCACUAAUUCAGCAGAUCUUCGCCAAGUUUAGCGACGAUUUCCCACCCAGAAGUGGGAAAAAAAAUAAAAGAGGUAGCUGUUGUGGUGGAGUAGUUUUUUCAGCUGUGUUUGUUUUUAUGCCAACUCAAAAAGUGGUUGUUGGGUUGCUGAGAGAAAAAAAAAAUAAGGGGUGUGGGGCAUAGAGAUCAAUUUGAAGAGGACUGGAUUGAUCUAGUAAAGAUCAACUCCUCUUCUCCUAAAUAAGUACUGCUCCAUUCUUCCUCCUCUUCAUUCAAUUCCUGACACAGUUAUCCAACUGCAACAAGCAGUGUUUCCAGCACUGGAAGUCCGUCGGCAUUGCAACGAUGGUUUACGUCCGGCACCGGCACCGGCACCCGGCAAUGACCAUCACGACCACCCCACCGCCGUUUUGCAUGCACCCAACCGGAUGAUGUAGAGAAUUAAAAUCAGAAUUAGCAUGAUAUAUAGUUAGCUUGCCCUUAUUAUAUUAUCAUACAAUAUAUACAUGCAUAGGCGUUGGUGCAUAUACACGCUUGAUGACUGCAUCCAUUCAUGUACGCAUAUAUGCCAUGUGAUAGCAUACGUAUUCACGUAUGUGCCUGGCUCCCUGUAUGCCAUUUGCAGAGCCCAUCGGCACAUCGAUGGUCUUCGUGGAUGGCGUGCGAGGAGCCAUGCAUAUUGCAUGCUGUAUGCAGCAUCUAUAUACGUUACUGCAUCUGCUUUUAAUUGCUGUUAAUUUUCUUCUUCUUCUUCUUCUUCUCUCUCUCUAGAACAUUCUGUACUCUUUGUUCAUUUCUAUUAGAAGAUUAUAUAUAGUAGAUCCAUAAAGCAGCAGCAUCGUCGUUGUUCUGAAAGUGCAGGUCAUCUCAUGAACCACCAUCAGGUAUUGUCAUUCUUCACCAAUUAAAGUAAAUUAGGGUUUCUCCUCAUCGCAUGAUAUAAUCGAUGCACUCAUCACCACCACUUCUACAUGACUGAGGGUUCUGCUUCACACCUUGUCUAUGUAUAAUUUGUAAUACACUUGGUUUUAAUUAUUACCAAUUAGUUUAACUUGUCCAACGCAUGGGCCGUAAAACUCACAAGUUGAAUCAACAGCAUUAUCAAAUCUGUGUAGAUCUAGAGCGUGGGAUCAAUGCGAGAUGCAAUCCAUCAACUGCGUCCGGCCGGUCUGGCUUAUGCAAGAGUCAUCAGACUAAAGUUAGCCCAUGAUGGGCGAAUGGCCAGUCAUGUAAAAUAGGGGGAGAUCCAGCAUCAAGUGGGACCCAUUGGAUAUCUGAUGAAAAUAAUCGGAUCGGAUUGGGUUUUGGUUUAACUCCACCUAUCUAUCAAACAUUCCUUUUGGAUGAUCAGAGGAAAGUACUCAGAAAGGAUGGAUUCCACUCCUUGCCUGUAGAGUGUAGAUAGAGGACUAAGAUAUGCCACAGCGGAAAUGGAAUUUCUGUGUUUCUAAUCCAAGUCUUAUAGCUAGCAUGGGCAGGGCCUCCAUUUUAUAAUAUAAUGUGAUGUAUGUUCCAUAAUUCAUAGACAUUGAUUGAUUGAUUGAUUGAUUAGCGAAGCUUAUAUCUACUGGCAACAAAGGAAGCAAUUAAAUGCCAUUGGUAUGAUGAUAAGCCAUGCUUCAGUUUCUGAAUCCUUUCAUUGGUGUUUCAUUGCCUGGAGAUCAUGAAGCGUCCAACUCAAGUAGUUCAAUCUUCCCUCCUUACUGCAUGUAAAUUGGAACAAUUUGAAUCUUUUCUCUUUAAGAUAUAGAGGUUUAUGAGAUA